This 185-nucleotide ribosomal RNA is filed under the name uncultured bacterium. Its description in RNAcentral is "partial 16S ribosomal RNA". It matches the Rfam family "Bacterial small subunit ribosomal RNA", at positions 1315 to 1500 of the family's 1533-position model. The record is from RNAcentral.
CCUGCAUGAAGUUGGAAUUGCUAGUAAUCGCGGAUCAGCAUGCCGCGGUGAAUACGUUCCCGGGGAUUGUACACACCGCCCGUCACACCAUGAGAGUCGGGAACACCCAAAGUCCGUAGUCUAACCGCAAGGAGGACGCGGCCUAAGGUGGUUCGAUAAUUGGGGUGAAGUCGUAACAAGGUAAC